This 253-nucleotide ribosomal RNA is filed under the name uncultured bacterium. RNAcentral describes it as "partial 16S ribosomal RNA". It matches the Rfam family "Bacterial small subunit ribosomal RNA", at positions 524 to 776 of the family's 1533-position model. The record is from RNAcentral.
UACGAAGGGGGCUAGCGUUGUUCGGAAUUACUGGGCGUAAAGCGUAUGCAGGCGGAUCAUUAAGUCGGGGGUGAAAUCCCGAGGCUCAACCUCGGAACUGCCUUCGAUACUGAUGAUCUUGAGUCCGGGAGAGGUGAGUGGAACUGCGAGUGUAGAGGUGAAAUUCGUAGAUAUUCGCAAGAACACCAGUGGCGAAGGCGGCUCAUUGGCCCGGUACUGACGCUGAGAUACGAAAGCGUGGGGAGCAAACAGG